This 31-nucleotide non-coding RNA is filed under the name Mus musculus (house mouse). Lineage: Eukaryota; Metazoa; Chordata; Mammalia; Rodentia; Muridae. The record is from RNAcentral.
UACAGAUGUUUACUUCUGACUAAACUGAUGC